This is a long non-coding RNA of Planococcus citri (citrus mealybug), 888 nucleotides long. RefSeq lists it as uncharacterized. The record is from RefSeq and is a predicted model, not a curated record. NCBI's taxonomy places the organism in Eukaryota, Metazoa, Arthropoda, Insecta, Hemiptera, Pseudococcidae. The transcript has 6 exons.
GGUUCAUUCUUUCUGGAUUCUGGUGAAUCCAUUAUCUUGAAGUACCUACGUUAAAAAAUACCCAUUUUCAUCAUCAAUUAAAUGGCUUUAUCCGUAGGAAGACCAUCUCCAUGACCAGCUUUCUUUUCAAUUCUGAUGAUAAAAGGAUUUAUCUAUGGGGGUUUCCUACCUGAUUGGAGUGUUUCUUGGCAUUGUAUUGCAAGGUGGCAAUGAAUUUCAAUGAGUGGAAUGGUGGAACACGAUCAUCGUGAUCUGAAGUGGUAUCAAAAACAAGCGAGGAAAAUAAUGGGAAAUUUUAAAUUAACAUUUACCUGAAGAUCAAAUGAACAAUUCGACAGAUCGCAACGAUAAAUGAUCCCGGGUACUAGAUCUUUCCACGAACAGGGAUCUGGAUUUUUAAUGUCGAUUGUUAUUAAUUUGUACGUAAUUAUCUGCAUCUUUGUUAGUUCUGAAAGUGAAUAUUGUAUCGUCGUUGGCGAUGAACUGAAACAAUAUAAUUACAUAGGUAUUGCAGAAUUUCUCAUAAAGGCUACGAAAUCACUUCAGUUAACUCAAUUAUAAGUAAAUUACUCAAAUGAAAUGCAGGAAAAAAUGACCUAGCUGGAAUUUGGAAUUUUUGAAUCUCCGAAUGCUUAAAAUCUAAAAUAAUAUCGCUGUUUCAUGGAACCAAUCGAUCAUAAUUGGCAUCCUCACCAGUACAGUGUAAUACUAUACUUACGCUACUGACAAUACCACCAUUAUUCCCGCCUCCUCCGCCACAAUUGCCACCACCACCUUGAUCUGAAGCAGGAAAGCAUUUUGAAAAUUGGAUUAAAAUCCCCAAAAUGGCACACGCAACAUAUAAUUUCGGAAUCAUGACGAACAAAAUUAAUACCGAGAUGAGAAUUA